ACUCCUACGGGAGGCAGCAGUGGGGAAUAUUGCGCAAUGGGCGGAAGCCUGACGCAGCGACGCCGCGUGGGGGAUGAAGGCCUUCGGGUUGUAAACCCCUUUCACCAGGAGCGAAUCCAGACGGUACCUGGGGAAGAAGCGCCGGCUAACUACGUGCCAGCAGCCGCGGUAAUACGUAGGGCGCAAGCGUUGUCCGGAAUUAUUGGGCGUAAAGAGCUCGUAGGCGGCCUGUCGCGUCCGCUGUGAAAUCCUGGGGCUUAACCCCGGGCGUGCAGUGGAUACGGGCUGGCUAGAGGCAGGCAGGGGAGAACGGAAUUCCCGGUGUAGCGGUGAAAUGCGCAGAUAUCGGGAGGAACACCGGUGGCGAAGGCGGUUCUCUGGGCCUGUUCUGACGCUGAGGAGCGAAAGCGUGGGGAGCAAACAGGAUUAGAUACCCUGGUAGUCCACGCCGUAAACGUUGGGCGCUAGGUGUGGGACCCUUCCACGGGUUCUGUGCCGCAGCUAACGCAUUAAGCGCCCCGCCUGGGGAGUACGGCCGCAAGGCUAAAACUCAAAGGAAUGACGGAAGGCG
This 571-nucleotide ribosomal RNA is filed under the name uncultured bacterium. Its description in RNAcentral is "bacterial SSU rRNA". It matches the Rfam family "Bacterial small subunit ribosomal RNA", at positions 335 to 922 of the family's 1533-position model. The record is from RNAcentral.